RNAcentral lists this ribosomal RNA (371 nucleotides) under uncultured bacterium. Its description in RNAcentral is "bacterial SSU rRNA". It matches the Rfam family "Bacterial small subunit ribosomal RNA", at positions 527 to 896 of the family's 1533-position model. The record is from RNAcentral.
GUAGGUGGCAAGCGUUGUCCGGAUUUACUGGGCGUAAAGAGCGCGCAGGCGGUCGUGCAAGUCGCGUGUGAAAGCCCCCGGCUCAACUGGGGAGGGUCACGCGAUACUGCUCGACUCGAAGGCAGGAGAGGGAAGUGGAAUUCCCGGUGUAGUGGUGAAAUGCGUAGAUAUCAGGAAGAACACCCGUGGCGAAAGCGGCUCUCUGGAACGGUACUGACGCUGAGACGCGAAAGCGUGGGGAGCGAACAGGAUUAGAUACCCUGGUAGUCCACGCCGUAAACGAUGGGCGCUAGGUGUGGGAGGUGUCGACUCCUUCCGUGCCGCAGCUAACGCAUUAAGCGCCCCGCCUGGGGAGUACGGCCGCAAGGCUA